This 504-nucleotide ribosomal RNA is filed under the name uncultured bacterium. RNAcentral's name for it is "partial 16S ribosomal RNA". It matches the Rfam family "Bacterial small subunit ribosomal RNA", at positions 29 to 523 of the family's 1533-position model. The record is from RNAcentral.
AUUGAACGCUGGCGGCACGCCUAACACAUGCAAGUCGAGCGGCAGCGAGAGUAGUAGCAAUACUACUUGUCGGCGAGCGGCGGACGGGUGAGGAACACGUAGGAAUCUACCCAGAAGAGGGGGAUAACCAAGGGAAACUUUGGCUAAUACCGCAUAAUCUCGAGAGAGAAAAGCUGCCCGCAAGGGUGGCGCUUUUGGAGGAGCCUGCGUCCGAUUAGCUAGUUGGUAGGGUAAAGGCCUACCAAGGCGAUGAUCGGUAACUGGUCUGAGAGGACGACAAGUCACACUGGAGCUGAGACACGGCCCAGACUCCUACGGGAGGCAGCAGUGGGGAAUAUUGGACAAUGGGGGCAACCCUGAUCCAGCGAUGCCGCGUGAGUGAAGAAGGCCUUCGGGUCGUAAAGCUCUUUAGGUUGGGAAGAAGGGUGCGAGGGUAAUAUCCUUGUACUUUGACGGUACCAACAGAAUAAGCACCGGCAAACUCUGUGCCAGCCGCCGCCGUAA